GAACUCUUUUUGGUCGGCCUUAACGGAGUAUUUGUACCAUUUAUGAACAAGUUGGAUGUUAAAUUGUCCUGUACUGUUACUACGCUCUGUUUCGCACACGUUUGAGACUGUAUUCUGUGAUGGAGCGGGUGUUUAAUCAGGAGCUAGCAGUGCUAGCGAGGCCGCCGCCAUUUUAGCAGAGAGACCGCGAACCUCUUCCCGCGUGAAAACAGCGGAGAGCCCAGCGGAGGACGCGGGUUGGUGAGAUGGUGCCGAGGACGUUAUCUCUCAAGGAGGUAUGUGUGGACUCAGCUGCUAAAUGAGGGAUUCCUGCUCGUGAUCUUCUUUCUCAUGUCCCGACCUUUGCCAGUUUUUUGGAAUAAACCUUUUAUCUGUUUGACCUGCUGCGUCGGUGUUGUGCAUUUGUGUCUUCCCUUUCUGUGCCUCAGUUCAUCCCCGGGUGUGUAUCAACAAAUUCCUCUUCUGUUAGCGUGGAGACCUCAUAUUGUUUUUCUCCUUAUUGUUUUUCAGAAGAUAAUUAAUAACAGCAGAUCUAACAGAAAGGUAUCUGCAACCUCCUCAUGAACACAUUACAUUGACUAUAUUUAGACUGCUGUAAGGUUAUCCAGUAAGAUAGCCAACAUUUACAAAUAACAGAUAAAAUACACAACUUAUUUACUGAUGAAACCCACAUGGUAACUAAACCAAUACAUGUGAUUUGAAUGUAGUACCUUAGCCCCACCUCAUGGUGGCGCAUCAGCCCCGUACUCCGUGUCAUGACCGUGAACGCGCCGAGCCCCAUUUUACUCAGAGCCGAGUAACUGACCAGAACACCUGCAUAUAAACGAGCUGACAAACCGGGAAAUGUAAUAUGAUGAAAACAGGUAAAUUAAUGAUUAAUCCUCGAGCGGCAUCUUGAUAAAUCUUCAGUUUUUCUUCUGGGAAAAUCGUGUGAGUGUGAGAGAGAGAUUGGAGCCGGUUUCACUGUGUUAAUCCCCUGCAAGAACUCUGGUAAGAAAAAUGCGACAUGCGGCUAGGUCUCGAGGUUAGCUGUUGAUAUUAGCAAGUUAUGAGAAGAAUUCUUUAAUUUAAGUAUGUUCAUAAAACCAGUCAAAGUCACUGAUAUGUUUCCUAAUGUUUUAAACCCACUGUGGUACCUGUCAUGUCAUUGUUAACUUUGGAAAAUAGCUUUAUGAAGAUCGCUAGAGAGCUAACGUGAAGCUAAUGCUAAUCACGGAUAGCGCUGCUACGCUAAGUCAGAUAUUACUUGUAACAGAUAUUUUAAUGGUGUACUUGGCUAAACUUAAUUGCUGCUACUGUAGCAAACGAGAGAGAACGAGAUUACAUAUGCUUAUUUGUGUUGAUAUGAUGCCAGUUGCAUGGUCAGGCUCCAUCAUGUGAUCUGAUCCAGCCUUACACCCCCUCUCGGGCUCUGAGGUCCGUGGUUUAGAAUCUGCUGAUGGUUCCGCGCACUUGUUUUCAGACCAGAGGAGACCGAUCCUUCCAGGCUGUUGCCCCCAGACUUAAUUAAUUCUGUUGACUCCUUUAAAAGCCGACUCAAAACUUGUUUAUUUGCUCAGGCAUUUGUCUAAUUGUUUUUGGGGCUACUAUGACUGUUUAAUGUUAUUGUCUUGGCCUUUUAAUUUGUAUGUACAUUUUUAUUUUUGUCUAUGUGAAUCACUUCGUGAAUCUUUUGUCUGUGAAAAGUGCUAUUCAAAUAAAGUUUACUUACUUACUUACUUUCCGUCAGUUUGACAGAUUGGUCACGCCUUCAGCCGCCCGCUCGCCCCCCUGCAAUAUGACACUCCAAGUGUGGGAUAGCAUAUAUGCCCCCUCAUCCCAGUUGAUGGUCCUCAGGCCUCGCUUCCGGAUUUCCAUUGCCUCCCUGAUCCAGCGCUGAUGUAUAUUUUCUUCGGUGCGGAUGACUCUGGCAUUUUCCCACUCCAUGAUGUGGUUCUCUCGUCUGCAGUGGUCUGUGAUAGCUGAUUUGUAAUUUUCUUGUUGUGCCUUUUCUUUUAUUGUUCUUGUUUGUUUUGUUGCUGUCUCCUUCUCACACUCUUUCUUGUUCAUUUUUUCAUAUUGUGAAACUCCUCCCUGUCCCUCCGAUGUAUGUUUUGUUGCAUGAUUGGCAUGGGAUCUCAGUAUCUUCCGGAGGGUUGUGUGUGGUUUUGACAGGUGUGUUGAUGUUGUGUUUCUUCAUAGGGAACCGAAGUCAUGCUAACUUCCAGGUUAGCAUACGGUCCUAUGGAGCCCAUCAAAAUGAAUGGACAGAUAUAUAUAACUACUGGUCCGCUUUGGUAUAGGGAACCGAAGCCCCUACACAUUUCACAUAUAAUGUUUAUCAUGUUUAAAUUUACAUUUUAACCUCGAAAAAGCCGUGAUUUUAGACAUGUUGCUAUAACUACAGUUUAAUUUAGAGUGAGACCACGUAAUGAACUACACCGCUCGUCGCACUAUUUUUGCGUCACUGUCUAAGCUUUGACAGACGACGAUGGCGGUGACUUUGGCAAGUUUCACGUCCUUCUUCCAGGAUGAAGGAAAGAGUAUUAAACGUGGUGAAAACCACUACAAGUCGGGUCAUGUUGAGAGGUGUCAUGGUGACAUUCUGGCACAAAACACACAGGCAUUUUGGCAAUGAUAACGAGUUGACAGGAGUUGUCAGCUAGCUAGAAGUAGAAAUACUGACGUGACGUCAUUUACGCGACUUCUUGAGGUCUGUAGUCUCUCCAUUUACGUGUUUUCAAAGACAAAUAGAUCAACAAUUACACAACAAACAUAGCCUUUAUUUACCUUAAUGGUUAUCAUUUAAGUUAAAAUACAACAUAUUUGUGACUCAGGGUGUAAAACAAAGCGGACCAGAAAAUACCAUAGACCUGUCCAUUCACUCCUAUUAUCCCAAUAGGACCUAUAGCGCUAACGCGGAAGUGGGCGUGGCUUCGGUUCCCUAUUGCCCUUUGGAUUCGUUCGGUUACGCCCCUCAGGUAUGGUAAAACCACCACUCCCUUGUGUUCUUGUUUGCUGUGUUGCUUUUUGGCUUUCUUGUGUGUUUUAUUAUUGUUGUUUUUGGGUUGUUGUGAGCCCUUUGUUAUCGCCCACUGUGGGUAUUGGCAGGUUUUGAGUUCUUGUUGAAUGUGUCUUUCCUCCUGCGCUCUGUCCUCCGGGUCCCUGAUUAUGGCCGCGCGUUCACGCAGUGUUCUAACUACCGCCGUGUAGGGACACCAGUGACUCCACCUCGAGUCAUCUAGCCUUUCUUAUAUAUGUCUAAGUAUAAGUUUAAAAAGUACUUAAAGCCAUAGUGUUUUAUAGUUCUCUGUCAUAUAAUGAUUGUAAUUUGUUAUACAGAAAUAAUUUGCAAUAGCACAAUGAUCUAUUUAACUUUCGUACUGUGCAAACCUUAAUUUGUAAUUAUAGGUACUGAUAAUUAUUUAUAAGGUAUUACAGAGUCAAGGCAUCCCCAAACACAUACUGUUUAAAGGCAUGAACUCGUUCAGCGCUGCACUGUUUCUCUUCUUAAACUCCUUUACAUCACCACGCACAGAAAGAACGCAUCGCUUAUUAUGAAACAUAAUAUUCAGAGGUUUUUUUUUUUAGAUGACCGUGUUAUUUUUCCCUGUAAAUACUGUAAAAACAUCAGCUGUUCAGAGGAAAUUAAAGCCAAACAUUGCUUGAUAAGACGCCUGUUUUGGUUCCUCAGAGGGGUGAGCGGUUUCCUUUUGAGCUGAACUUUAAUUAGACGACUGAAGCAGCCGCAGAAAUGAGGAAUUUCCUGUGUUUAUGGCCUGAAAAUAGCCGGUUUAGAGGACAGAGAGGUGAGAAAAGCACUUAGACUGGUAGCCAUAAUAAAGAGAUGUUCCUGAACCUUCCACUAGAUGGCAGCACAGUUAUCCAAACAUCACAGUGAGCUCUCCUUUUUUCUGAUUUUCAGCUCAUGGGGGCUGACCUAUUACAGGCUGAAUCAAUUCAAAUUAUAGAGACAGAUGACAGGGAGCAAUCAAAAGAGAGAAAUGAGAGGUCUAUUUCAAUGGAAGAUCUGCAUUUUACUCACUUUUCAUACAAACUGACAUGCAGAUUUACCAAAGAGGAGGUUAUUUAUUUAGUUUACAGCCAACAAAGAGGAAAAGUACGGUUCCUGCAGGCGGUUUUGCCACUUUAAUCCACUUUUAUUAGAAACAGACUGAUGAUGAAGAACACAAAAGUGUCUAAAAAGACAAGAAUUGACAGUAAAUGAGAGAUCCACAUUACCUCUCCACGAGCUUUUAAUGUCAAACAUAAGAGGUAUUGCAUUUCAUUACCACACUGGAGUAUUUCCUCAUUAUAAUAAAUAUUGAUCACUGUGUUGUCUUAAUGUAAAGGUCAAUUUCCCAUCUUGGCGUUCUUGGUAGGAGGGUUUGCCUGCAGCAGUUUUCUGUUUUACAGCUUCUCUGCUAUUGAUGCAAACCUUAAAGAGAUACUAAUCCUGUUUUUAAAACGUGGAGUUUGCGACUGUGGAAGUAGUUGCCUCAUGAAGCGAUUUUUUUGGUCAGGCUUUUAUUUGGAUAUUUUUUUGUCUCACAGUGAGGUAACUUUUUUUCUUGCGUUUUCUCUCGGCUCAGAUCAGUUUUCAGAGUUUAAUUCCUGUUUUAUUUUGUAGGAGUUGAUUCCAUGUGUUUGUUGUCUGGUUUUACUUCCCUAGUUUUCCCUCCUUUGUUAGUCAUCUCACUUGUGUCUCGUCUGCCUCACCUGUUGCACGUUUCCCAGUGUGUGGCCGUUUUUGAAUUCUCCUACUAUCCUAGCAGUACGUACUGAUUUGCCCAAAAUUUAGUAUGCAGUAUGCAGUAGGCGAAGAAAUGCAAAAUUUGCAGUAUGCCAAAAAUACCCGGAUGACUGUCGUCAUUGUCGUUUUCUCCUGCUUCAUCCAGGUCUAGAUCACGGGGGCAGCAGCUUCAGGAGGGAAGCCCAGAUAGUCCUCACCCCAGCCACUUCCACCAGCUCCUCCGGGGGGAUUCCCAGGUGCCCCGAGGCCAGGCAAGAGAUAUAAUCCCUCCACCCGGUCCUGGGCCAGCCAUGAGGUCUCCUCUCGGUGGGACAUGUCCGGGAGGUGUCCGGAAGGCGUCCUAACCAGAUGCCCGAGCCACCUCAGCUAACUCCUCUCGACGUGGAGGAGCAGUGGGAUGUGAUGCCCCCCCCCAUUGGUUGUGGUUUGGGUGGGGAUGUGAUGGGCCCCCGAUAUUGGUUGUGGCCCUCCAUUUUGUUGAAUUUUAAACAGACAAUGACUUCACGAUGGGAUGACGUGAGCUUCUAGAUCAUUUAGACAAGUGGUGGGCAACUUUGAUGAUGGAGAGGGCCACAAUAUUUCCACACUCAUUCCAGGGGGCCACAUUACAUAAACUGUCAGUCCAUUCGAUGUCACACAAAAGUUGCAAAAAUAGCCGAUCUACAAAGGAAAACUAGGGAAGAAAAACCAGACUACAAAACACAAGGAAUCAACUCCUACAAAAUAAAACAGGAAAUAAACACUGAAAACUGAUCUAAAGAAUAAAACGCAAAGAACUCACAAGACUGGACUACAGGGGAACAGGAACACGAGGGAGAAUGGACUCGGAUAACAAAACCAGGAGAAAACUGAAUGAACAGAACAUAUCAUGACAGGUUUACAGUUUUUGUUGUGAAGAAAGAAGAAACAGUCUCUCCAAGCUCCACUGGUUCACUCCAAGUGCACAUUUUUCAUGCAAUCUGGUGGUUUAUCUUAGUCAAAUAAUCUCUGAUUGCUCAGUGCCUCUUUCACACAUCCGAGGAGGGAGUAUUUGUCGACGAGCAGACAGGAAGCUCUGCAGCCUCCUCGCCAUCAUCAGCAUCACGGUGCAGGUGGUGAAUGAAAGCCGGGGCUCUGCAGGAGGCUUUUUGGGAAUAAUUCAGAGUCAGUGAAUUAAACAAACACUUAAUCAGCUCCAGCAGGAGGUUAGUUCUUCAAAUGUGGUUAAGCCUCAUGUACUGGCAACACUGUCUUGUGCAUGUUUAGACUGUAGGACGAUGUGAUGGAUUUAACAAAUAGAUUCACAGUUUCGGUGCAUUAUUAAAUGUGCAAAAUAAGACCUUGUGCAAAGAUUUUAGUGCAGUUUGAAGAGUUGCAAGAGGUUAUGCAUUGCCCUGAUGGAGGUUAUAUGUAGUCGUAGUUUGCAGCAUCAUGUGUGAUCACCUUUGCCAGAGAAGGGAAGUUAAAGAAAACAGCUCCACCUACAGAGACUAAAGAGAAAAUCUGAAGACAAAGAUGUCUAGGAGCCACCCACUGAGUUUGACUGACGGGUCAUUACUGCAGAGAGCAGCACAGAAACACUGCUGACGUUACCAAGAGUGAUUAAAAUGUCAAGAAAAUAUGUUUUAGUUAAAGAAGAGAGUAAAUCUGUCACAGAGUAAAGCGCUGUUUGCUCUAACUCUUAACAUGAGUCCCUCUUUUUGCUUUUCUGCAAUUCUCCACUCCCUGCUGAUGAUUAGAGCAACAAAAGAUAUCGAACAGCCAAGAGAAUAAGAGAAAUUUUCAAUAAAUGUGAGAGGAAAUACAAUAAUACUUCCUCUGUUGUUUUCAGAGAGAGGAAGACUGCAGACGGAUGGAGACACCACCUCAGAGCGCGGCCUUGUAGCUUCAGGUCAGCGAUCUUAUUUGGCCCCCGUGUGGAGGAAGAAUUGGUUUUGGCUUGGCUGAGGACAAUCAUCCGAACCGAGGGGAUUGGAUGCUGCUGGGACACGGAGAGAGCCAAUCAGAAAGGCCAUCGAUCAGUUCCCCUUAAUCUCACAGCUGGUGAGCACAUCCCCACUCCAAUCUCAAACUCUGCAGCUUACUCAGACUGACUGACGGGGGAUUGGAGGGCGUCCAAAAGACUUCGGCGUCCACAGAAACAGAUCCAGGAUGAAGCAGGAGGAUUGUGCAGACAAAAUUAGAUGAUACUUGACUGUGUUCUCAGCAUCCAUUGCUGCGAUCUUAACCGUGAAAAUAAACAGUAGUUUAAGCUGUUUAGUCGAGUUUAGCCAGAAAAUCUUCUUUUUCCCUUGAAAAUGUGAAAGCAGUGAAGUCAGAGCAGGAUUAUAAUGGACAGUCUCCCAUUAAAAUAAGCAAAAACAGGAUGCAGGUGGAAUCAUCUCCUCUGAAAUGUGAAUUUUACCCCACAAUAAAACCAGAAUUUUCCUUUUUUCCAACAUCGCUCUUCCCAGUGCAGUGUGAAGAGGGUCAUCAUAAAAACCCCAGAAUAAAACCUUACAGUGAAAGAAACACCAGAACACUGACUCUGAAAAUUCAUGACGAACAUGUUCUCGUGUACGUUUUUAAAGUCCAAAUAAAUAAACUUUUUUAGCAUUGUGUAAACAAGUAUUGUGUAUUGUAAGACUCGAUCUAACUUUCGUCAGCUCUAGAAGCUGGUAAAGCGGUGGAGUCAAGGACAUGGAUAUUUCAUUCAGCCUGAUUAUGUUUGAUUCUGCAUAAACAUAAUCACGCCAGAUGACUUGUAUCAAUAAAAGGAUCACGAUGGAAAAAGCUAAAGAAGCCGAAACCUUUUUUUUUUGUACUGGACUAUUCUGCUUUCAAAAAUCAGCAUUUUAACAUGAGACUGAAUGAGGUUUCUCUUUCUUUUGGAGUCUGCCUCCAAUGGACAGUUGCAGAACUGCAGCUGUUUUUUUUUUUUUUUUACCUCUGCAUUGCCUUCGCUUUACAACAGUAACUGGCUAAACCCACAGGAUCUUGAACGACGCCGCUCCGGACAGGACUGGCAGAUGGAUCAGAUCCACAAGCAUACAGCACCCACUGGAUCCAAUCCGCUGCCGCCAUCAGGGGAGAAAUGCUCACGAGAUUACCGUUAUUUCUCAUUAGACUGGACGAGAUCUCACAAGCUCUUGCGUGUUUCCCCGGGAGUCAUAGAAUGAGAUCCACCGAUCGGUGUAUAUUAACAGCCACAUCCCACAACCCUGGCCUCUCCUGUUAUCAAGUUAACAACAGUUAAACGUAUUGACUUUAUUUUAUUUUGAAAAUUAACUGGAUAUUUUACUCUGUAACCGCAUAAAACUUCCUCUGCUGCUCGUGUAGUGCUGCACUGAAUUGAUGCACCGUCCUUCGGCGUCCGGCAAAAAAAGAAGCCUUGCAUAUCUGAUCUGGCCGCCGGAGCCGAGCCAUUCCGGACCCUGUGGGUUUUGCCCGUAAGAGUUGCUGUUUGGGGAGAACAGAGUGAUGGCCUCAGGGUUAUAUGUAU
Non-coding RNA from Xyrichtys novacula (pearly razorfish), 8192 nucleotides. NCBI's taxonomy places the organism in Eukaryota, Metazoa, Chordata, Actinopteri, Labriformes, Labridae. The record is from the annotation of a GenBank genome assembly.